CCUCCCGUAGUGUAGCGGUUAGCACUUUGGACUUUGAAUCCAACGUCCCGAGUUCGAAUCUCGGCGGGAGGU
This is a transfer RNA of Monosiga brevicollis MX1, 72 nucleotides long. It matches the Rfam family "tRNA". Rfam says of the family: Transfer RNA (tRNA) molecules are approximately 80 nucleotides in length. The record is from Rfam. Lineage: Eukaryota; Choanoflagellata; Craspedida; Salpingoecidae.